CCUCUGAGCGGGGAGCUGAGGGCGCCUCGCGGGCAGUGGCGCCCGGCCCGGCCCGGCCCCGGGAGCGUGGGGGAGCCGGCGUUCAUGCCGCCAAACGCGCGGCCCUGGGGUUGAGCGCCCCGUUUGUGAGGGGAGAGCUUGAGAUGGCAACAGUGUUGUUGGACAACAGCUCAGAAAACUUUGAGGAGCAGCCCGAGCUUUCUACCAGCCGCAUACUCUGCUGACGUAGCCUGAACUUCAAAGGACUGGUAAGGUGAUGUUUUCAUUUGGAAGAAAGUUUAAGGUUUCACAGACAGGCCAGUAAAGAAUACCAGUUCCUCUCUUCUGCCAUAGCUAC
This is an RNA transcript of Alligator mississippiensis (American alligator), 337 nucleotides long. RefSeq lists it as uncharacterized. The transcript is spliced from 3 exons. Lineage: Eukaryota; Metazoa; Chordata; Crocodylia; Alligatoridae. The record is from RefSeq and is a predicted model, not a curated record.